GCGUGAUAAUUCGCCCUUUAAUUGUGGGCUUGUAUGAACGGACAAACGAGAGAAAAGCUGUCUCAUCUUAACAAAAAUAAAAAUUGACCUCCAGGUGAAGAGGCCUGGGUAUAAUAAAAAGACAAGAAGACCCCGCAGAGUUUAGAUUUUCAGUCUCUAUGCUUAUACUAAAAUUAAACAUAAGCAUUAUCCCACUAUAAUCUUGGCUGGGGCGGCCGAGGAGUAAAACCCUCCAUCUUAUAUUAAGGCAAUCCACCAAUUAAAUAUAUGACCCUUACAUGAUCAUAAGACAAAACUACCUCGGGGAUAACAGAUUAAUCUUUCUUGAGAGUCCAUAUUGACAGAAAGGC
Molecule: ribosomal RNA, 350 nt
Filed under: Proclea malmgreni
Lineage: Eukaryota; Metazoa; Annelida; Polychaeta; Terebellida; Terebellidae
Description: partial large subunit ribosomal RNA
Rfam family: Bacterial large subunit ribosomal RNA
Source: RNAcentral